Non-coding RNA from Apodospora peruviana, 78 nucleotides. Lineage: Eukaryota; Fungi; Ascomycota; Sordariomycetes; Sordariales; Lasiosphaeriaceae. The record is from the annotation of a GenBank genome assembly.
GGGUGAGUAGUUCAGUGGUAGAGCAGCGCGGUCUGUCUCCGGACCACGAGAGCCCGGUUCGAUUCCGGCCUCUGCCCG